GUUUGUCAGUGUGUGUUUGUGUUUAUGUGUGUAUCUGUCAGUAAAUGUAUGUGUCUGUCAGUGUAUGUCUGAGAGUGUGCGUUUGUUAGUGAGUGUGUGUGUGUGUGUAUGUCAGUGUGUGUCUGUCAGUGAAUGUAUGUCACUGGAUGUGUAUCUGAGAGUGUGUGCUUGCCAGUGAGUUAGUGCAUCAGUGGGUGUCUGUCAGUCAAACUGUGUGUUAGUCUUAAAC
Non-coding RNA from Pelobates cultripes (western spadefoot toad), 229 nucleotides. The record is from the annotation of a GenBank genome assembly. Lineage: Eukaryota; Metazoa; Chordata; Amphibia; Anura; Pelobatidae.